GAGCCAAUCAAACAAUUUAAGCAUCAUUUCAUUCCAGUGACCCAGAAUUAAGUAAGUUUGACUACAUUUUAUUCAGAGAGCAUUUUGGCUGUAGAGCAAUGUAAUCAAUGUAAAUUAGUUCUGU
Molecule: non-coding RNA, 124 nt
Organism: Chelonoidis abingdonii (Abingdon island giant tortoise)
Lineage: Eukaryota; Metazoa; Chordata; Testudines; Testudinidae
Source: RefSeq, a predicted model, not a curated record